AGAAAUAAUGCUAAACGUAGAUGGUUUACAAUCUAAUAUUUUUUAUCUUUCGCGAAGCUUAUACAUGCCUAUGUUUAAGAGAUAAACUAUUUACGUUUCAAAUCUUAAACUAUGCUAGAUUCUUGGUAGCUUAAUUUUAACAGUGUAUUCCUUAAGUCGAUCGGGUGGUCACAAUUGUUUACAUGUUCCGCCAUUCCGGCAAGGAGACUGAAAUUGCAACCGCGAUAAUUAAUGUGUUUCUAAUCCGAUCGGAAAUAAGAAAUGUUCGGAACUUUGGCCAGAAGGAGCAUUGAACGGAGCCGAAAAAGUGAAACUUCUGUUCUGCCUCUCUUAGCGAUCUCCACUCAAUCGCAAGUAGACGCAGUAAGAAACUCGACCACGUAAUCGGAACGGGAUGCUUUUCGUUUUCCGGUAAAACAACUUUUUUCCAUGGGUUACGCUCAGCUGCCUCCAGUAAUAACGAAUGAUUUUUCUUCAAGCGGUGUUCAGGAAGGCAGAAUCUUCCGACAAAAGAUGGGACCUCCGGGAGUCUCGAGCUUCUUCAUAAUCUUGGAAGGAGAUGCAAGCAGCAGUAACGUUGGAACUGAGACGAGUGCAAUAGCAUUGUUGGCUUAAGAAUCGCUAUGCAGAAUAAAAGAGCAUCGCGGGGAACACUUAUCAACCCUUGGACUAACCUACGAGCAUCAUGCGAUCUACAAAGGAGUAUAGGAUUUGUUUUGUAUACGAAAAGUGUUGUAAUUUGUUUUAUUUGUGAACUUGCCAAAAGGUACAGGAGUGAAUAAACGUUCAUGAUUCUU
Long non-coding RNA from Aedes aegypti (yellow fever mosquito), 797 nucleotides. RefSeq lists it as uncharacterized. The record is from RefSeq and is a predicted model, not a curated record. NCBI's taxonomy places the organism in Eukaryota, Metazoa, Arthropoda, Insecta, Diptera, Culicidae. The transcript has 2 exons.